This is an RNA transcript of Mus musculus (house mouse), 5799 nucleotides long. It is a transcript of the gene named glutamate receptor interacting protein 2, with no coding region annotated. The record is from RefSeq and is marked validated. The transcript has 24 exons. Lineage: Eukaryota; Metazoa; Chordata; Mammalia; Rodentia; Muridae.
UAAAGCUAAGGUUCACCGGCUUACACAUAAGUGGAAUUUAUAAUGUGUAAAGCAUUAACACAGACACACACACAUGCAUGCAUGUGUGUGAGCACAUAGAUACACUACUGGCCAGGUCUGGUCAUGAAAACCAUGGUAAGUACCUGCCUUACCAAUUACGCAUCUAGAUCCUGGGACAGUGACUAACAGGCCUGGGUUUCUAAACUAGAUUCAUAAACACUCCCCCCAGCUGUGUGACCCUGAACUUAGUUCUCCCUCUCUGAGCCUUGGCUUCCUUUCUGGAUGGUUUGGGUAACAUUACCCAUGAUAACAACAUGGACCAGGACAUGGGCAUGGCAGACACCCAACCUUAGAUUGGCUGAGAAGCUGCCCACAUGGGGAUCCUUAUCCAAGCCUUCUUCAGCCCGAGGAGAGCCCUGGGACACUGGCAGGAAGCCGGCACAGCACGAGAUGAUGGGCCUUACUCAAAAGGGGGGAAGGACACAGCGGGGGCCGACGGGGCUCUGGUAUGCCGCCGCCAGAGCAUUCCAGAGGAGUUCCGGGGCAUCACCAUGGUGGAGUUGAUCAAACGUGAGGGCAGCACUCUGGGCCUGACCAUCUCCGGAGGGACUGACAAGGACGGGAAGCCCAGAGUCUCCAACCUGAGACCUGGGGGCCUGGCAGCCAGGAGUGAUCUACUGAAUGUGGGCGACUACAUCCGCUCAGUGAACGGGAUCCAUCUGACCCGCCUCCGACAUGACGAGAUCAUCACACUGCUGAAGAAUGUGGGCGAGCGCGUGGUGCUGGAGGUGGAGUAUGAGCUGCCCCCGCCCGCUCCCGAAAACAACCCAAGGAUCAUUUCCAAGACGGUGGACGUCUCCCUCUACAAGGAAGGCAACAGCUUUGGCUUUGUCCUCAGAGGAGGUGCCCAUGAGGACCUGCACAAAUCCCGCCCAUUGGUCCUGACUUACGUGAGACCUGGUGGCCCAGCGGACAGGGAGGGGUCCUUAAAGGUGGGCGACAGGCUGCUCAGCAUAGAUGGGAUCCCACUGCAUGGGGCCAGCCAUGCUACUGCAAUAGCCACCCUGCAACAGUGUAGCCAUGAGGCCCUUUUCCAAGUGGAGUAUGAUGUGGCCACCCCAGACACAGUGGCCAAUGCUUCAGGCCCUUUGGUGGUAGAAAUAGCCAAGACCCCAGGAUCUGCCCUGGGGAUCUCUCUCACCACUGGCUCCCACCGGAACAAGCCAGCUAUCACUAUCGACCGUAUCAAGCCAGCUAGCGUGGUGGACAGGAGUGGUGCGCUGCAUGCUGGAGACCACAUCCUCGCCAUCGAUGGCACCAGCACAGAACACUGCUCACUGGUCGAGGCUACUAAGCUCCUGGCCAGUGUUACUGAGAAAGUUCGACUGGAGAUCUUGCCUUCGCCCCAGAGUCGUCGGCCCCUGAAGCCCCCAGAGGCAGUGAGAAUACAGAGGAGUGAGCAGCUGCACCGCUGGGACCCCUCUGCCCCUUCUUGCCACAGCCCAAGGCCAAGCCACUGCAGGGCACCCACCUGGGCAGCUGGAGGCCCGGACCAGAGCCGAUCUGUGUCCUCGACUCCCUUCUCCUCACCGACUAUGAACCCCGCCUUUCCCUGUGCCAACGCCAGCACCCUGCCCAGAGGACCCAUGAGCCCCAGGACAACAGCAGGGAGGAGAAGGCAGCGAAGGAAAGAACACAGGAGCUCUUUGUCACUGGCCUCCAGCACGGUAGGGCCCGGCGGGCAGAUUGUUCAUACGGAGACCACGGAAGUUGUGCUCUGUGGAGAUCCUCUCAGUGGCUUCGGCCUUCAGCUGCAAGGAGGCAUCUUUGCCACCGAGACCCUGUCCUCCCCACCCUUGGUGCGAUUUAUUGAACCUGACAGCCCCGCUGAGAGGUGUGGUCUGCUGCAGGUGGGGGACCGAGUCCUAGCCAUCAAUGGCAUUGCCACUGAGGAUGGGACCAUGGAGGAAGCCAACCAGCUGUUGCGGGAUGCUGCGCUGGCCCGCAAAGUUGUUUUGGAGAUCGAGUUUGAUGUGGCAGAGUCUGUCAUCCCAAGCAGUGGAACCUUCCACGUGAAGUUACCCAAAAGACGCGGUGUGGAGCUGGGCAUCACCAUUAGCUCGGCCAGCAGAAAGCGAGGGGAACCCCUGAUCAUCUCCGACAUCAAGAAAGGCAGCGUGGCGCACAGGACUGGCACCCUCGAGCCAGGCGACAAGCUGCUGGCCAUUGACAAUAUCCGCCUGGACCACUGUCCCAUGGAGGAUGCCGUGCAGAUCCUGCGUCAAUGUGAGGACCUGGUGAAGCUGAAGAUCCGGAAAGAUGAGGACAACUCAGAUGAGCAGGAGAGCUCUGGCGCAGUCAGCUACACAGUGGAACUGAAGCGCUAUGGCGGACCACUGGGCAUCACCAUCUCUGGUACAGAGGAACCUUUUGACCCCAUCAUUAUCUCUGGCCUCACCAAGCGGGGUCUAGCCGAAAGGACUGGUGCCAUCCAUGUCGGGGACCGGAUACUGGCCAUCAACAGCGUGAGCCUCAAGGGCCGGCCCCUGAGUGAGGCCAUCCACCUUCUGCAGGUGGCCGGGGAGACGGUCACACUGAAGAUCAAGAAGCAGCUAGACCGUCCCCUCCUCCCCCGCCAGUCAGGCAGCCUCAGUGAGGCCAGUGAUGUGGAUGAGGACCCCCCUGAGGCCCUCAAGGGAGGCUUGCUGGCAACGCGCUUCUCACCUGCUGUACCCAGCGUGGACAGUGCUGUGGAGUCCUGGGGCAGCUCUGCCACAGAUGGUGGCUUUGGGGGCACAGGCUCCUACACUCCGCAGGUGGCAGUCCGGAGUGUGACUCCCCAGGAGUGGCGUCCUAGCAGACUGAAGAGUAGCCCCCCACCCCUUGAGCCCCGGAGGACGAGCUACACACCGGGUCCCUCUGACGAAAGCUUCCCAGAGGAAGAGGGGGACUGGGAGCCACCAAUGAGGCGUCCUGUGUCACCGCUCUCCACCCCGUCUCAUCUGCCCCUGUUCUAAUUGGCCACCAACAGUCUUGGUCGCCCCUAACUGCGUCUCCCCCACCCCAUUCUGUGUCACCAACCACUGCCCUGGGGCCCCAGCACUGCCACCGAGGACACCCGCCUGCCUGCCUGCCUGUCCUAUGGCCCCCGGAGCCCAGCACUGGGCCCUGGGCAACGAAGACUCCUCAGGCCCAGCCCACCCACCCUCCCACCUGCCAGGAGUUGACGCUGUGGUUCCUGUUGCAGCCCAGCCCCCGGCCCCGCCCGAGAGGAGGGUUUCUGGAGAGUGCUUGGAGAGGCUCUUGAAGACCUGGAGUCCUGUGGUCAGUCUGAACUGCUAAGGGAGCUGGAGGCUUCCAUCAUGACAGGCACUGUACACUCCGUGGCUGUGGAUGGCAGGCCUGGCUCUCGACCCUGGCGCCGGAGCCGGGAGGUCCGAACAUCCCCUGAAGACCUGCAGGAGCUGCUGCUGCCGACACCCCUGGAGAUGCACAGGGUGACCCUGCACAAAGACCCGGUGAGGAACGACUUUGGUUUCAGCGUCUCAGAUGGCCUCCUGGAGAAGGGUGUCUAUGUCCACACUGUGCGCAUUGACGGACCAGCUCAGCUUGGAGGCCUGCAGCCCUUUGACCGUCUCCUGCAGGUCAACCAUGUUCGCACUCGGGACUUUGACUGCUGUCUGGCGGUACCACUCCUGGCGGAGGCUGGGGACAUCCUGGAGCUGGUGGUCAGCCGUAACCCACUGGCACAGAGCCGCAGGACACCAGGAGCACCAGGCCCCAGUAGUCCCCAGAUGCUCUGAGGUCAUUAUGAAGCUCAGCUGGAGGAGUGGCCCCCAGUCAUCCACUUAUGGUCUGCAGAUUCCACAUCCAUAGAAUGGCAUCUUCAAGUUGGAUCUCAGAGAACCCCACGGGAAAGGUGCCGUCCCUGCUGCUCAGUCAGAAGAGUCCAGCUCCCUGCACAGUCAUCUCAGAGCAGCAAGAGGUGUGGGGAAAGCCCAGCUCAGUGUGGGAACUCGACUGAGCUACCAGUGUUUCCCAUCUUGGGAAGUGAAUAAGCAGAAGGUGGACAAUCCUGGUCUGUGGCAGGAGGCAUUCGGCAACCCAGCUGUAUAGAUGGCACCCAGUGCACAGGCAUCCUGCCACCAGGAAAGAUAUGGCACAAGAACAGUGUCCUCCCUUCUCCCAAAUGGUGGUGUUUUGAGAGCCUCCAGCAUCAGUGACCACACCGAGGAACCCCAGUUAGGAAGAUCUGGGGUACCAGAGAAUGCUUGCCCUUUCCUUCAGGUUGGCCAUACAAUCAUUUCUGUUUCGUGGGUGAUUCUGAACCCCAGAGCAGAGCCGUGGUCAUCAUUACCCUCCUGCGCCACAAAACCUUAGCCCAAGGACCCGUCCAGAGAAGGGCACUGCUCGAGUCAAAAGGUCCAGGAGCAUCUACUCACCUGGCAUUCCAACAGAUACCAUGGAAAAUAAGGCUGAGCCACGGCUGUGCCCCUGAUCCCAUCCAUGGAAAAGGGGAAGAAGAAAGAAGCUGAGAUGGAGGGAGGUUGGCUGAAGGACAAGACAGUAAUGAGAGGGAGCAGUGUCCAGAGAGGCUACUCAAGGAAGUCCCCAGCAUCCCUUAACUCGGGGUUCCUCCAUCUCUGCCAAGCAGAACCCUUCCAGCUUCAAGCAGGACUCAAGACACCUCCCAGUGGUCUGGGCUGGUCUGACAAUUGGCUUCCUGUUUGCCCAGCUCAAGGUCCCAAGGACCCAGGGGCCUCCAACCCUACCCCGUCACCCCUCUCUGCCCUUGAAGCUCAUUGCCCAAAAGAACUCCCUGUUGAAGAGGACAGACAGGGCCCUAAGAAGCCAUUCCUUUCCCUAGUUUCCUUCUUGGCUGAGUAACCUUGUGUGAAUCUGACAGACACAGGGCGAGCUCCAGCUGCCCACUCAGACGCUUCAGCUCUCUGCGUUUCCUCAGCUUCCCCCAUACCCUGCCCUUCAUGAUGGCCUCUCCAGGGACCCUUAUGCCUGGGUCCAGGUAACCCGGUGUCUCUACUUUCACUGCCCAUCCAUCAUGGGCACCAAACGAACUAAGACCUUCAACUUCCAGGGCAGGCGAAUGGCACAGCAGAGAGGAGACUCCUGGCUACCAGCACACCGGAUGCUGUGUGACCAUGGGCAGAUGGCUCAGCCUCUCUGGAUUUCUGGUGUGUGGCAUGGCUGACUGUACCUUGAAAGCCUCUUAGCUUGGGAAAUCUGUAUCCCACUUAAAGACUCCAGGUUCUGAAAAUGCAACCACUGCCCUCCCCUCGGGCUGAGGCUCUCCCAUCCUCCCAGAUGUAUGCAACUAGGCCAAUCGGUGGACCUCCUGGCCGUGGCCUGAGGCCUUCUCAUAUGCAAUAUCCCCCCUGGCUUCUCCCAGGGGUGUUUGCCCCACACAAUAUUCCUAGCCCCCUCCCCAGUGAGCAUCCUGCCUGCCUAUGCAUUUUGGGUACCUCCCCUGUGACACCCACCCCCAGAGCUGUAUUUUUCUCUGGCUAAGAUUAGAACAUAUUCCUUGUAAAGUAUUUUUCUAUGCCGGUUUUCUUAGGGCUCCCAGGGAGCACCCAGCACACCCAUGGCACCACUGUACAGGCUGUUCCUAGUCUGUCUGGGGCCCACGUAUAAAUCUUAUGUCCCACCAGGCAUCGCAGUGACUGGGGGGAGGUUGAGUGCUAUUGGGGUAAUUUUUGUAAUAAAAUUGGUUAAAUGCACAAAGUAGGUUUGUUUGCUUUAUAAAAAUAGCAGGCUGGCAAGGUUCAGCUUCUGUGUGUA